This 468-nucleotide ribosomal RNA is filed under the name uncultured bacterium. RNAcentral's name for it is "partial 16S ribosomal RNA". It matches the Rfam family "Bacterial small subunit ribosomal RNA", at positions 28 to 507 of the family's 1533-position model. The record is from RNAcentral.
GACGAACGCUGGCGGCGUGCUUAACACAUGCAAGUCGAACGGAAAGGCCCUGCUUUUGUGGGGUGCUCGAGUGGCGAACGGGUGAGUAACACGUGAGUAACCUGCCCUUGACUUUGGGAUAACUUCAGGAAACUGGUGCUAAUACCGGAUAGGAGCUCCUGCUGCAUGGUGGGGGUUGGAAAGUUUCGGCGGUUGGGGAUGGACUCGCGGCUUAUCAGCUUGUUGGUGGGGUAGUGGCUUACCAAGGCUUUGACGGGUAGCCGGCCUGAGAGGGUGACCGGCAAAAAUGGGAAGGAGAGACGGCCCAGACUACUACGGGAGGAAGCAGUGGGGAAUAUUGCACAAUGGGAGGAAGCAUGAUGAAGCAACGCCGCGUGCGGGAUGACAGCCUUCGGGUUGUAAACCGCUUUAGAAUGUGACGAAGAGUGAGUGACGGUAAUGGGUAAAGAAGCACCGGCUAACUACGUG